Molecule: ribosomal RNA, 415 nt
Filed under: uncultured prokaryote
Description: bacterial SSU rRNA
Rfam family: Bacterial small subunit ribosomal RNA
Source: RNAcentral
GUGUCAGCCGCCGCGGUAAUACGUAGGUGGCGAGCGUUGUCCGGAUUUACUGGGCGUAAAGCGCGCGUAGGCGGCUUGUUAAGUCUGGGGUGAAAUCUCCCGGCUCAACUGGGAGGGGUCCUCGGAUACUGGCAGGCUGGAGGGGAGCAGAGGAGAGCGGAAUUCCCGGUGUAGUGGUGAAAUGCGUAGAUAUCGGGAGGAACACCAGUGGCGAAGGCGGCUCUCUGGGCUCUACCUGACGCUGAGGUGCGAAAGCGUGGGGAGCGAACCGGAUUAGAUACCCGGGUAGUCCACGCUGUAAACGAUGGACACUAGGUGUGGGAGGUAUCGACCCCUUCCGUGCCGAAGCUAACGCUAUAAGUGUCCCGCCUGGGGAGUACGGCCGCAAGGCUAAAACUUAAAUGAAUUGACGGGG